RNAcentral lists this transfer RNA (73 nucleotides) under Mesocricetus auratus (golden hamster). It matches the Rfam family "tRNA". Rfam says of the family: Transfer RNA (tRNA) molecules are approximately 80 nucleotides in length. Their secondary structure includes four short double-helical elements and three loops (D, anti-codon, and T loops). The record is from Rfam by way of RNAcentral. Lineage: Eukaryota; Metazoa; Chordata; Mammalia; Rodentia; Cricetidae.
GGAGAGGUGGCUCAAUGGUUAAGAGCACUGACUGCUCUUCCAGAGGACCUGGGUUCAAUUCCCAGCACCCUCA